This 71-nucleotide transfer RNA is filed under the name Nitrospinae bacterium RIFCSPLOWO2_12_FULL_47_7. Its description in RNAcentral is "tRNA-Cys". It matches the Rfam family "tRNA". Rfam says of the family: Transfer RNA (tRNA) molecules are approximately 80 nucleotides in length. Their secondary structure includes four short double-helical elements and three loops (D, anti-codon, and T loops). The record is from RNAcentral. Lineage: Bacteria; Pseudomonadati; Nitrospinota.
GGCACCGUCGCCAAGUGGUAAGGCCGAGGUCUGCAAAACCUCUACCCCCGGUUCGAAUCCGGGCGGUGCCU